GACGAACGCUGGCGGCGUGCCUAAUACAUGCAAGUAGAACGCUGAAGAGAGGAGCUUGCUCUUCUUGGAUGAGUUGCGAACGAGUGAGUAACGCGUAGGUAACCUGCCUUGUAGCGGGGGAUAACUAUUGGAAACGAUAGCUAAUACCGCAUAACAAUGGAUGACACAUGUCAUUUAUUUGAAAGGGGCAAUUGCUCCACUACAAGAUGGACCUGCGUUGUAUUAGCUAGUAGGUGAGGUAACGGCUCACCUAGGCGACGAUACAUAGCCGACCUGAGAGGGUGAUCGGCCACACUGGGACUGAGACACGGCCCAGACUCCUACGGGAGGCAGCAGUAGGGAAUCUUCGGCAAUGGGGGCAACCCUGACCGAGCAACGCCGCGUGAGUGAAGAAGGUUUUCGGAUCGUAAAGCUCUGUUGUAAGUCAAGAACGAGUGUGAGAGUGGAAAGUUCACACUGUGACGGUAGCUUACCAGAAAGGGACGGCUAACUACGUGCCAGCAGCCGCGGUAAUACGUAGGUCCCGAGCGUUGUCCGGAUUUAUUGGGCGUAAAGCGAGCGCAGGCGGUUUGAUAAGUCUGAAGUUAAAGGCUGUGGCUCAACCAUAGUUCGCUUUGGAAGCUGUCAAACUUGAGUGCAGAAGGGGAGAGUGGAAUUCCAUGUGUAGCGGUGAAAUGCGUAGAUAUAUGGAGGAACACCGGUGGCGAAAGCGGCUCUCUGGUCUGUAACUGACGCUGAGGCUCGAAAGCGUGGGGAGCGAACAGGAUUAGAUACCCUGGUAGUCCACGCCGUAAACGAUGAGUGCUAGGUGUUGGAUCCUUUCCGGGAUUCAGUGCCGCAGCUAACGCAUUAAGCACUCCGCCUGGGGAGUACGACCGCAAGGUUGAAACUCAAAGGAAUUGACGGGGGCCCGCACAAGCGGUGGAGCAUGUGGUUUAAUUCGAAGCAACGCGAAGAACCUUACCAGGUCUUGACAUCCCGAUGCUAUUUCUAGAGAUAGAAAGUUACUUCGGUACAUCGGUGACAGGUGGUGCAUGGUUGUCGUCAGCUCGUGUCGUGAGAUGUUGGGUUAAGUCCCGCAACGAGCGCAACCCCUAUUGUUAGUUGCCAUCAUUCAGUUGGGCACUCUAGCGAGACUGCCGGUAAUAAACCGGAGGAAGGUGGGGAUGACGUCAAAUCAUCAUGCCCCUUAUGACCUGGGCUACACACGUGCUACAAUGGUUGGUACAACGAGUUGCGAGUCGGUGACGGCAAGCUAAUCUCUUAAAGCCAAUCUCAGUCCGGAUUGUAGGCUGCAACUCGCCUACAUGAAGUCGGAAUCGCUAGUAAUCGCGGAUCAGCACGCCGCGGUGAAUACGUUCCCGGGCCU
RNAcentral lists this ribosomal RNA (1369 nucleotides) under uncultured bacterium. RNAcentral describes it as "bacterial SSU rRNA". It matches the Rfam family "Bacterial small subunit ribosomal RNA", at positions 28 to 1381 of the family's 1533-position model. The record is from RNAcentral.